Molecule: ribosomal RNA, 467 nt
Filed under: uncultured bacterium
Lineage: Bacteria
Description: partial 16S ribosomal RNA
Rfam family: Bacterial small subunit ribosomal RNA
Source: RNAcentral
GACGAACGCUGGCGGCAUGCUUAACACAUGCAAGUCGAACGGAACGGCCCUGCUUUUGUGGGGUGCUCGGGUGGCGAACGGGUGAGUAACACGUGAGUAACCUGCCCUUGACUUUGGGAUAAAUUCAUGAAACAGGGGCUCAUACCGGAUAGGAGCUCCUGCUGCAUGGUGGGGUUGCGUAGGUUUGGCGGGUUGGGGUGGACUGGGCGCGUCUCAGCUUGGUGGUGGGGUAGUGGCUUACCAAGGCUUUGCCGGGUAGCCUGCCUGAGAGGGUGACAGGCCACAUUGGGUCUGAGAUACGGCCCAGACUCCAACGGGAGGCAGCAGUGGGGAAUAUUGCACAAUGGGCGGAAGCCUGAUGCAGCAACGCCGCGUGCGGGAUGACGGCCUGCGGGUUGUAAACCGCUUUCGUCUGUGACGAAGCGUGAGUGACGGUAAUGGGUAAAGAAGCACCGGCUAACUACGUG